GGACAACCUGCCCUCGGGUGGGGGAUAACCCCGGGAAACUGGGGCUAAUCCCCCAUAGGGGAUGGGUACUGGAAUGUCCCAUCUCCGAAAGCGCUUAGCGCCCGAGGAUGGGUCUGCGGCGGAUUAGGUUGUUGGUGGGGUAACGGCCCACCAAGCCGAAGAUCCGUACGGGCCAUGAGAGUGGGAGCCCGGAGAUGGACCCUGAGACACGGGUCCAGGCCCUACGGGGCGCAGCAGGCGCGAAACCUCCGCAAUGCGGGAAACCGCGACGGGGUCAGCCGGAGUGCUCGCGCAUCGCGCGGGCUGUCGGGGUGCCUAAAAAGCACCCCAUAGCAAGGGCCGGGCAAGGCCGGUGGCAGCCGCCGCGGUAAUACCGGCGGCCCGAGUGGCGGCCACUUUUAUUGGGCCUAAAGCGUCCGUAGCCGGGCUGGUAAGUCCUCCGGGAAAUCUGGUCGCUUAACGAUCAGACUGCCGGAGGAUACUGCCAGCCUAGGGACCGGGAGAGGCCGGGGGUAUUCCCGGGGUAGGGGUGAAAUCCUGUAAUCCCGGGAGGACCACCUGUGGCGAAGGCGCCCGGCUGGAACGGGUCCGACGGUGAGGGACGAAGGCCAGGGGAGCGAACCGGAUUAGAUACCCGGGUAGUCCUGGCUGUAAACGAUGCGGACUAGGUGUCACCGAAGCUACGAGCUUCGGUGGUGUCGGAGGGAAGCUGUUA
Molecule: ribosomal RNA, 715 nt
Filed under: uncultured archaeon
Lineage: Archaea
Description: bacterial SSU rRNA
Rfam family: Archaeal small subunit ribosomal RNA
Source: RNAcentral